RNAcentral lists this long non-coding RNA (349 nucleotides) under Monodelphis domestica (gray short-tailed opossum). RNAcentral's name for it is "lncRNA (ENSMODG00000051063.1)". Lineage: Eukaryota; Metazoa; Chordata; Mammalia; Didelphimorphia; Didelphidae. The record is from RNAcentral.
GGGCACUCAAGAUACUAGUAACAUGCUUCUCUUUUGGUCUGACCCAGCAAUAACAAUCCACAUAGUAAAACAGGAGUAAUUUGGUUUUAUUUUUUAAUUUACUUUUUUUUUUAAAUUCGAAGUCACUUCAGGUUCUGAACAAUGGUAGUCACAAAACCACGCAAGUGCCCAGACCAUGUCUAAGAGCAAGACACAGAUGUCUUCAUGUUUACGAUUAUCGAACAAGGUCAAGAGGAAAAGAUGCCAGGGAUCCUGCAAAGAAAUUAUUGACCUCAGUCAGAAAAAGCAAAAGAUGAAGGGUUUGGGAAGAGAAGGAAGUACCAGAGAGCGAUGCCUCUAUGAAAGCUGA